UAGUCUGCAACUCGACUACAUGAAGCUGGAAUCGCUAGUAAUCGCGAAUCAGAAUGUCGCGGUGAAUACGUUCCCGGGCCUUGUACACACCGCCCGUCACACCAUGAGAGCCGGGGGGACCCGAAGUCCGUAGCCUAACCGAAAGGGGGGCGCGGCCGAAGGUAAAACUGGUGAUUGGGGUGAAGUCGUAACAAGGUAGC
Molecule: ribosomal RNA, 200 nt
Filed under: uncultured bacterium
Lineage: Bacteria
Description: partial 16S ribosomal RNA
Rfam family: Bacterial small subunit ribosomal RNA
Source: RNAcentral